AGGACGAACGCUGGCGGCGUGCCUAACACAUGCAAGUCGUGCGAGAAAUUCCCCUUCGGGGGGAGAGUACAGCGGCGCACGGGUGAGUAACGCGUAAGUUAUCUGCCCUUUGGUCUGGCAUAACUCCGGGAAACCGGGCUAAUUCCAGAUGAUGUCGCAAGACCAAAGCCUUCGGGCGCCAAAGGAUGAGCUUGCGUCCCAUUAGCUAGUUGGUAGAGUAAUAGCCUACCAAGGCGACGAGUGGGUAGCCGGUCUAGAGAGGAUGAUCACGCCACAGUUGGACUGAGACCACGGCCCAGACCUCCGUACGGGAGCAGCAGUGAGGAA
Molecule: ribosomal RNA, 327 nt
Filed under: uncultured soil bacterium
Lineage: Bacteria
Description: bacterial SSU rRNA
Rfam family: Bacterial small subunit ribosomal RNA
Source: RNAcentral